This 199-nucleotide long non-coding RNA is filed under the name Elaeis guineensis (African oil palm). RNAcentral describes it as "long non-coding RNA (EGUI_LNC014200)". Lineage: Eukaryota; Viridiplantae; Streptophyta; Magnoliopsida; Arecales; Arecaceae. The record is from RNAcentral.
UAGGACGACUUUAUUUUGAACAAUAUUUUGAUAAAUACUUUUGAAAUCGUAUUAUUUUGAUAAUUUGUUUUAAAAAUAACUUUAUUUAGGUAAAAAAUCUCCAUAUUUCGAUAAAAAAAUCCUACUAAAUUGGAGUAAAACAUGAGAGCUAUAUUAUAAGAAGUAUUAUAGAGGUGAUGAAUAGGGGCAGUGCAUGGGA